AGGGCACCACCAGGAGUGGAGCCUGCGGCUUAAUUUGACUCAACACGGGAAAACUCACCCGGCCCGGACACUGGAAGGAUUGACAGAUUGAGAGCUCUUUCUUGAUUCAGUGGGUGGUGGUGCAUGGCCGUUCUUAGUUGGUGGAGUGAUUUGUCUGGUUAAUUCCGAUAACGAACGAGACUCUAGCCUACUAAAUAGAUCGUCGGCUUACAAACGCCGGCGAGACUUCUUAGAGGGACAGGCGGUGAUUCAACCGCACGAAACAGAGCAAUAACAGGUCUGUGAUGCCCUUAGAUGUCCGGGGCCGCACGCGCGCUACACUGAAGUGAUCAGCGUGCAUUUGUUCUUGCUCCGGGAGGAGCGAGUAACCCAAGGAACCUUCUUCCUGAUAGGGAUUGGGCAUUGGAAUUAUUGCCCAUGAACGAAGAAUUCCCAGUAAGCGCGAGUCAUUAGCUUGCGUUGAUUACCUCCCUGCCCUUUGGACACACCGCCCGUCGCUACUACCGAAUGAAUGAUAGA
Molecule: ribosomal RNA, 519 nt
Filed under: uncultured eukaryote
Lineage: Eukaryota
Description: bacterial SSU rRNA
Rfam family: Eukaryotic small subunit ribosomal RNA
Source: RNAcentral